GCUAUCACAUAAUCUCCAACACGAUUAUAACAAGUGGCGCUCCUUAAUUCUAACAUGUGGACUAUUGAAACUCCUAAAACUUCUAAAUAUAUUUAAAAACGUCUGCUCCUUUAACUGAACCAAAAGACUCUUCAGAUUUCAGAAGACCAAGAUACUUACAACUUACAAGGCAUUCACAACUCUUCAUUAAACUGUCGUUCAAUCUUCUCAAUUAAACUUACAUGACGUUAAAGCUUUUCCAGCAAAUUGAUCUUCUCUUAUCAAAUAAACGUUACACGCCGCUCAAGCUGCAUUAUUCAACCCAUCUUCAGUAUUUAACCCAUCUUAAUCAAUCAAGAUUCAGCUUCAACAUCCCAAAACCCACAAAAAAAACCCAUCUUCAUCUUCAAUCUUCCAUACAACUCAGAAUCAACGACAGAAAUACAUACAACUUUUUGGUACAGUUUAUAGACAUUUAACGCCUGAGAAGUGAGAAUGUUUUGAUUCAAAACAAUGUUAGAUGCCAAAUCCUCAUAAGAACUGAUUUUUAGUUACAAUGGACAACUACAGGUAUCAAAGGCACAUGAUGAAUCAUUGUUUUAGCGGAUGGUUUCUUUAUGCUUGCUCUCACCCAAAAUGGUACCCAUUCUUCCAAUGUGGUGCUAUGCUUCAAGUGUCCUAAUUUUAUUUAAUAGUAUCCUCGUGUCGUUUUUAUACCAACAACUAUGCGUUUUGGUUGUUUUUUUUUUGAAUUUCUUUCCCCAAUCGGAAUAGCUCAAGCAUUUUUGUCUUAGAUUCUAGCUCAAUGAAUUUUCUAAUUGCAGAUUGUCAAGCAUUGCCCAAGUGUUAAACAAUUGUUGUGUAAAUUGUUUAGACCUUGUGGUAUCCUCAUUUUUCACCCACUUGGCUACUCUUUUUCUCAUCUUGGUUUUUUCAUUUUCCUCAAUUUAUUAACUUUACUCACUUCUUUCAUCUUCUCUGUUUGUUUAUUUUCCUCAAUUGAAUAAGUAACCUUUCAAUUUUUAAUUGAUAUAUGACAUUUAUGCCAUCAAUAUGAAGGAUAGUCUGUGUACCUUACUUGCUAGCUAAAAAUAAGAUUAGUUUUUUCAUUGCUUAA
Mercurialis annua (annual mercury) is the source of this 1096-nucleotide long non-coding RNA. RefSeq lists it as uncharacterized. The transcript has 3 exons. The record is from RefSeq and is a predicted model, not a curated record. NCBI's taxonomy places the organism in Eukaryota, Viridiplantae, Streptophyta, Magnoliopsida, Malpighiales, Euphorbiaceae.